AGAGAUUAGUUUGAUCCUGGCUCAGAUUGAACGCUGGCGGCAUGGCUAAAACAUGCAAGUCGAACGCGAAAGGGGCUUCGGCCCCAAGUAGAGUGGCGAAAGGGCGAGGAAUAUAUUUUUACGUACCCCGAGGUCAGGGAUAACCCAAGGAAACUUGGAUUAAUACCUGAUGUGGUGCUUCGGCAUCAAAGGCUUGCCGCCUCGGGAGCGGAGAAUAUCCUAUCAGGUUGUUGGUGAGGUAACGGCUCACCAAGCCUUAGACGGGUAGCGGGUGUGAGAGCAUGACCCGCCGCAUCGGGACUGAGACACUGCCCGGACUCCUACGGGAGGCUGCAGUAACGAAUCUUCCGCAAUGCGCGAAAGCGUGACGGAGCGAUGCCGCGUGCAGGAUGAAGCCCUUCGGGGUGUAAACUGCUGUCAGGGACCAGUAACACAAUGAACAAUCCCAAAGGAAGGGCCGGCUAACUUCGUGCCAGCAGCCGCGGUAAUACGAAGGGCCCGAGCGUUAAUCAGAAUCAUUGGGCUUAAAGCGUACGUAGGCGGACAUACAAGCGUCGGGUGAAAUCCCUCGGCUCAACCGAGGAAUUGCUUGGCGAACUGUAUGUCUUGAGGCAAGUAGAGGCUGUCGGAACGCUAGGUGGAGUGGUGAAAUGCGUUGAUAUCUAGCGGAACGCCAAAGGUGAAGACAGGCAGCUGGGCUUGUUCUGACGCUCAUGUACGAAAGCGUGGGUAGCGAACGGGAUUAGAUACC
Molecule: ribosomal RNA, 751 nt
Filed under: uncultured bacterium
Lineage: Bacteria
Description: bacterial SSU rRNA
Rfam family: Bacterial small subunit ribosomal RNA
Source: RNAcentral